CCCGAGUGCUUGCACUCAAUUGGAAAGAGGAGUGGCGGACGGGUGAGUAACACGUGGGUAACCUACCCAUCAGAGGGGGAUAACACUUGGAAACAGGUGCUAAUACCGCAUAACAGUUUAUGCCGCAUGGCAUAAGAGUGAAAGGCGCUUUCGGGUGUCGCUGAUGGAUGGACCCGCGGUGCAUUAGCUAGUUGGUGAGGUAACGGCUCACCAAGGCCACGAUGCAUAGCCGACCUGAGAGGGUGAUCGGCCACACUGGGACUGAGACACGGCCCAGACUCCUACGGGAGGCAGCAGUAGGGAAUCUUCGGCAAUGGACGAAAGUCUGACCGAGCAACGCCGCGUGAGUGAAGAAGGUUUUCGGAUCGUAAAACUCUGUUGUUAGAGAAGAACAAGGACGUUAGUAACUGAACGUCCCCUGACGGUAUCUAACCAGAAAGCCACGGCUAACUACGUGCCAGCAGCCGCGGUAAUACGUAGGUGGCAAGCGUUGUCCGGAUUUAUUGGGCGUAAAGCGAGCGCAGGCGGUUUCUUAAGUCUGAUGUGAAAGCCCCCGGCUCAACCGGGGAGGGUCAUUGGAAACUGGGAGACUUGAGUGCAGAAGAGGAGAGUGGAAUUCCAUGUGUAGCGGUGAAAUGCGUAGAUAUAUGGAGGAACACCAGUGGCGAAGGCGG
Molecule: ribosomal RNA, 674 nt
Filed under: uncultured Bacilli bacterium
Lineage: Bacteria; Bacillati; Bacillota; Bacilli
Description: bacterial SSU rRNA
Rfam family: Bacterial small subunit ribosomal RNA
Source: RNAcentral